Molecule: ribosomal RNA, 484 nt
Filed under: uncultured bacterium
Lineage: Bacteria
Description: partial 16S ribosomal RNA
Rfam family: Bacterial small subunit ribosomal RNA
Source: RNAcentral
GACGAACGCUGGCGGCGUGCUUAACACAUGCAAGUCGAACGAUGAAGCUGGAGCUUGCCCCGGUGGAUUAGUGGCGAACGGGUGAGUAACACGUGCGAAAUCUGCCCUUGACUCUGGGAUACCUGCGGACAACUGUAGCUAAUACCGGAUCUUUUCCUUUGUGGGCAUCCACUGCGGAAGAAAGACUUUCGGUCAAGGAUGAUUGCGCGGCCUAUCAGCUAGUUGGAGCGGUAAUGGCUAACCAGGGCGACGACGGGUAGCCGACCGGAGAGGGUGACCGGCCACACUGGGACUGAGACACGGCCCAGACUCCUACGGGAGGCAGCAGUGGGGAAUAGUGCACAAUGGGCGCAAGCCGGAUGCAGCAACGCCGCGUGAGGGCAGAAGGCCUUCGGGUUGUAAACCUCUUUUAGCAGGGAAGAAGCGAAAGUGACGGUACCUGCAGAAAAAGCACCGGCUAACUACGUGCCAGCCGCCGCCGUAA